UAGGGAAUCUUCCGCAAUGUGCGAAAGCUUGACGGAGCAACGCCGCGUGAGUGAUGAAGGUCUUCGGAUCGUAAAACUCUGUUAUUAGGGAAGAACAAAUGUGUAAGUAACUAUGCACGUCUUGACGGUACCUAAUCAGAAAGCCACGGCUAACUACGUGCCAGCAGCCGCGGUAAUACGUAGGUGGCAAGCGUUAUCCGGAAUUAUUGGGCGUAAAGCGCGCGUAGGCGGUUUUUUAAGUCUGAUGUGAAAGCCCACGGCUCAACCGUGGAGGGUCAUUGGAAACUGGAAAACUUGAGUGCAGAAGAGGAAAGUGGAAUUCCAUGUGUAGCGGUGAAAUGCGCAGAGAUAUGGAGGAACACCAGUGGCGAAGGCGACUUUCUGGUCUGUAACUGACGCUGAUGUGCGAAAGCGUGGGGAUCAAACAGG
This 429-nucleotide ribosomal RNA is filed under the name Actinomycetes bacterium. Its description in RNAcentral is "Actinobacteria bacterium partial 16S ribosomal RNA". It matches the Rfam family "Bacterial small subunit ribosomal RNA", at positions 355 to 776 of the family's 1533-position model. The record is from RNAcentral. Lineage: Bacteria; Bacillati; Actinomycetota; Actinomycetes.